RNAcentral lists this long non-coding RNA (515 nucleotides) under Panax ginseng (ginseng). RNAcentral describes it as "long non-coding RNA (PGIN_LNC013457)". The record is from RNAcentral. Lineage: Eukaryota; Viridiplantae; Streptophyta; Magnoliopsida; Apiales; Araliaceae.
UGGAUAAACAUAUCAGCAAGACUAUGUAUAAGCAUGCAGCGAUAUGCAGAUGAAAUUACAACAUAAUCAGAAUUGGAUCCUUAUUUAAAAUUAUCAUGAGAUAGUGACAACUACAAAUACCAGAGAGAAGCGCCAAUUAUGCAGUGCUUCAUUUUCGAGCCACGUAUAGUGAGGGUAUUAUCAAUGGAGAAGAAGAGAGGUAUAGGUAGUUUUUGACACCCACCACUAACGAUAAGUUAAGCUCCUACUCUUUAAGAAUCACAGACGCAUAAACCACCAAAGAAGUCUGUUAACUAAAUCAAUCUCAAUAUUUUAGUAUGACAGCAUUUUGCAUAUGUUUAAUAUAGAAACGGUUGAGUAAGCAGCCAUCGCUUGUUAAUGGUGAACUAGAUUUCAGCUAUAUGCAAGUAUACAACGGAAAUUACUCUAAAAAGUAGUCUGGUUGUAGAUAGAAGAAACAUGAAACACAUUUAUUAUCUCAUCAACAUAUGAAACUGAAAUAUCUGUAAUUUAUG